GAUGAACGCUGGCGGCGUGCCUAAUACAUGCAAGUCGAGCGAACAGACGAGGAGCUUGCUCCUUUGACGUUAGCGGCGGACGGGUGAGUAACACGUGGGUAACCUACCUAUAAGACUGGGAUAACUUCGGGAAACCGGAGCUAAUACCGGAUAAUAUUUCGAACCGCAUGGUUCGAUAGUGAAAGAUGGCUUUGCUAUCACUUAUAGAUGGACCUGCGCCGUACUAGCUAGUUGGUAAGGUAACGGCUUACCAAGGCAACGACACGUAGCCGACCUGAGAGGGUGAUCGGCCACACUGGAACUGAGACACGGUCCAGACUCCUACGGGAGGCAGCAGUAGGGAAUCUUCCGCAAUGGGCGAAAGCCUGACGGAGCAACGCCGCGUGAGUGAUGAAGGUCUUCGGAUCGUAAAACUCUGUUAUUAGGGAAGAACAAACGUGUAAGUAACUGUGCACGUCUUGACGGUACCUAAUCAGAAAGCCACGGCUAACUACGUG
RNAcentral lists this ribosomal RNA (497 nucleotides) under uncultured bacterium. RNAcentral describes it as "partial 16S ribosomal RNA". It matches the Rfam family "Bacterial small subunit ribosomal RNA", at positions 28 to 507 of the family's 1533-position model. The record is from RNAcentral.